UUGUUGCAGUUAAGCUCGUAGUUGGAUUUUGGUUAAGAGGGCGCGGUCGGCCGUUUGGUCUGUACUGCGUUGUCUUGACUUCCUGAUGAGGACAUGCUCUUGGUUAACGCUGAGACAUGGAGUCAUCGUGGUUACUUUGAAAAAAUUAGAGUGUUCAAAGCGGGCUUACGCUUGAAUAUAUUAGCAUGGAAUAACACUAUAGGACUCCUGUCCUAUCUCGUUGGUCUCGGGAUGGGAGUAAUGAUUAAGAGGAACAGUUGGGGGCAUUCGUAUUUCAUUGUCAGAGGUGAAAUUCUUGGAUUUAUGAAAGACGAACUUCUGCGAAAGCAUUUGCCAAGGAUGUUUUCAUUAAUCAAGAACGAAAGUUGGGGGCUCGAAGAUGAUUAGAUACCAUCCUAGUCUCAACCAUAAACGAUGCCGACUAGGGAUUGGUGGAUGUUAAUUGAUGACAUCACCAGCACCUUAUGAGAAAUCAAAGUUUUUGGGUUCCGGGGGGAGUAUGGUCGCAAGGCUGAAACUUAAAGGAAUUGACGGAAGGGCACCACCAGGCGUGGAGCCUGCGGCUUAAUUUGACUCAACACGGGGAAACUUACCAGGUCCAGACAUAAGUAUGAUUGACAGAUUGAGAGCUCUUUCUUGAUUCUAUGGGUGGGGGGUGCAUGGCCGUUCUUAGUUGGUGGG
Molecule: ribosomal RNA, 681 nt
Filed under: uncultured prasinophyte
Lineage: Eukaryota; Viridiplantae; Chlorophyta
Description: SSU rRNA
Rfam family: Eukaryotic small subunit ribosomal RNA
Source: RNAcentral